Non-coding RNA from Pelobates cultripes (western spadefoot toad), 270 nucleotides. Lineage: Eukaryota; Metazoa; Chordata; Amphibia; Anura; Pelobatidae. The record is from the annotation of a GenBank genome assembly.
GUGUAUGGCCCUUUAAGACUGUCGGUGGGCAUAUUGGGGCUUAUGGACUCUUUAUGUGACUGGUGCUGGCCCUUUAAACACCUUUUUUGGGACAUCAGGAAGAUUGGGACACUGCCCCUUUAAGGUCGUGUCCCCAGACUUGUUUGGGACACGGCCCCUUUAAGACGGUGUCCCCUGUGUCCCCAGACCUGGUGCAAACCCUUUGUGCCUGCCUUGCUAUUUCCCACUUGGUUCAGUAAAUGGGAAAUUAUUUCAGCUGCAGAGACUAAG